Molecule: ribosomal RNA, 600 nt
Filed under: uncultured bacterium
Lineage: Bacteria
Description: bacterial SSU rRNA
Rfam family: Bacterial small subunit ribosomal RNA
Source: RNAcentral
CCUACGGGAGGCAGCAGUGAGGAAUUUUCCGCAAUGGGCUAACGCCUGACGGAGCAAUGCCGCGUGGAGGAGGAAGGCCUGUGGGUCGUAAACUCCUUUUCUCAGAGAAGAAGAUCUGACGGUAUCUGAGGAAUAAGCAUCGGCUAACUCUGUGCCAGCAGCCGCGGUAAUACAGGGGAUGCAAGCGUUAUCCGGAAUUAUUGGGCGUAAAGCGUCCUGAGGUGGCUUACCCAGUCGACUGUGAAAGCUCAAGGCUCAACCUUGAAACGGCAGUCGAAACUUGUAAGCUUGAGUACGGUAGAGGCAGAGGGAAUUCCCGGAGGAGAGGUGAAAUUCGUAGAUAUCGGGAGGAAGGCCAAAGGCGAAAGCACUCUGCUGGGCCGAUUACUGACACUGACAGACGAAAGCUAGGGGAGCGAAAGGGAUUAGAUACCCCUGUAGUCCUAGCCGUAAACGAUGGAUACUAAGUGUUGCGCGAACUCAACUCGUGCAGUGCUGCAGCUAACGCGGUAAGUAUCCCGCCUGGGGAGUAUGCUCGCAGAGUGAAACUCAAAUGAAAUUGACCGGNGNGAGAGNGCGAGACGACGACGAGGGAGGAGG